AUUUUUUUGCCGCCGCAUUCCCCCUUAUCUUCUCUAUCCCUAAGUAUUUUCAUCCUCUUUUCUCACAAUCUCUUGCUCACUGGAGCCGCGUAGGAGCAGCAACAACUGGGAAGAGCGAUCGCAAGGCGAUAGCGAGGAUCGUCGCGGAUGCCUCCCUCGCGAAUGGUGGAAGUAAUGGAGAAUGGGCGGCGCGACGCGAUGGGACUGCGCAAGGUCGACUCUUUGUGCUCCUGCUUUGCCAUUCCUGUAUUCCUCCGCCCCCUUCCAUUUCCGACUCCCUUAAUACUGAACAGCGGAGUGUGAGUUGCGCCCACGAACUCCAAAGACAGCAUUUUUUUCUUCUUUUUUUGGGAAGAAGAGAAUCCCUUUGUUGUUAUUUUAAUCCCCCUUGACCGUGGAUUCAUGGGGGGAGAGUAGAAAUAACGGCGGGAGGAGGGGAUAGAGAGAUAUGCUGUGCCUGAAAGCGGAAGCUUUGACCAACGAGAUGUAUUCCUCCCAUGGCGUCAUGCUUCCGGCGAAUCUGGGAAGAUCGCUGCAGAAGGUGAUGCACAAGGUGGGGAAGAAUCGCAGUGAGGAACCACGGUGUCGGCGCUCACGCUCGGAUCCGUCUUCGUGUUCCUCCGGUGAUGGCACUCCGAGCUGUUCUGGUCUAGAUGCUAGCAAGAGUUAUGAUGGCACAAUGGAAGGGAGGCGCCACAAAAUGUGCAACUACAGAUCUCAGCUCGAAGAGGAAGACUGAACUGAGAAUAUCCGACCAUCAGAGUCACAAUUAACCAAUUCUUUGUUUGACUGAUUGCAUCAAAUCUGAUUGACAUUUAUCCUCUGGUAUUUUGGUCGUAGAAGACUAUAGUUAUAUAUUUGUGAGCAUUGGCCGGAUUCGGAGGCUUCAAAGAUUGUAAGCACAUUUUUCUUUUAGCUCCUUUUUUUUCCUUCUAGAAUACCUUCGAAUGCAUGGUGAUUCUGAUAAAAAAAAAAAAAAAAAAUGAAACGAUGUAAUAUGAAAUAUGAAAUCCCAAACAAGGAGACUGUGAACCACCAUUUGUAGAUCAUCAUAUUAAUUUAUAAACUAUUCUAUUCAAUAUACUCUUUCUUAAUUGCAUUUCUCUUGCUAGUGUUUGAUCUAGAUUUGAGAUAGUACUGAAGAUGAAAUUUCUAAUCUUAAGUAGCUAUAGUGAUGGAAUUCUUUCAAGGAUGAAAUUAUCAUUGUGGCAGGGCUUUGCACCAAAACUGCUUGCACGGUCCUAUUCCAUAAAGAACUGCACUGAGCUAACAACAUUGUAUCCGUUUUCUUCUAUUCAUAUAUUUUUUUUAUCGAUUAUAGUUAUUGGCAAUGAGAAUUUACUAUAUAUUGUUGCAUGGAGUUGUCACAUUACUUAUUUUUCAAGGUAUCUGAGAGCUAAUUACCUUUAAGGGAACAUUCCACCCGAGAUUGGAGAACUUAUGCACCUUACCAUCUUGUAGUUUUUACAUCCCCUUGUUUUCUUUUGUUAUAUAGUUGUUUCUUUAAUCAGUUUUCUUGAGCUUGAUGUAAAAAAAUGUAGGGACUUGUCAAGCAAUUUGCUCAGGGGCAAAAUUCCUCCAUCUAUUGGCUCUCUGAACCAAUUACGAUUCCUGAAUUUAUCAACAAAUUUCUUGUCUGGUGAGGUUCCAACCGUUGGAAUCCUUAUAACUUUCCAAAGCACUUCAUGAGUAACUCUUCUAUUCUCUCUGAUGCUUCAUUGGCUUGCUCCAUUAAUUGUUACAUGUUAUCUAAUUGUUUUCUACUUGGGCAACUGAAGUUUUUUCCCCAUUACACAAGCAUUCUCUUCUACCUUUUUAUUUGACAUAUAGUGUAUAACUAGCAUUCUGGGUGAAAAUAUCUUAUUAGUUAUGCUCAGUGUUAGAAUGUGUUAUGUUAGCACUUUGCAUUUGGCCUUUCAGUGUUUGUUGGAUAAGUUUUAUGGCAUUGCCAACCUUAAAGUAUCAUGUUUGGUUUGAAUAUGUCACUGGGCUAAAUUGAACUCAAUGAAGAACCAUAUGAUUUAUAUGAUUGAGAUCGUUCCAAAUUGCCAAAUAGCUGUGGAUGUUAUGCAAUUUCAUUUCCUUCUAUACCAGUUGCUAAUUUCCAAU
RNA transcript from Zingiber officinale, 2109 nucleotides. RefSeq lists it as uncharacterized. NCBI's taxonomy places the organism in Eukaryota, Viridiplantae, Streptophyta, Magnoliopsida, Zingiberales, Zingiberaceae. The transcript has 6 exons. The record is from RefSeq and is a predicted model, not a curated record.